This 499-nucleotide ribosomal RNA is filed under the name uncultured bacterium. Its description in RNAcentral is "partial 16S ribosomal RNA". It matches the Rfam family "Bacterial small subunit ribosomal RNA", at positions 28 to 507 of the family's 1533-position model. The record is from RNAcentral.
GAUGAACGCUGGCGGCGUGCCUAAUACAUGCAAGUCGAGCGAACAGACGAGAGUGCUUGCACUCUCUGACGUUAGCGGCGGACGGGUGAGUAACACGUGGGUAACCUACCUAUAAGACUGGGAUAACUUCGGGAAACCGGAGCUAAUACCGGAUAAUAUUUAGCUUCGCAUGAAGCAAUAGUGAAAGACGGUUCUGCUGUCACUUAUAGAUGGACCCGCGGUGUAUUAGCUAGUUGGUGAGGUAACGGCUCACCAAGGCAACGAUACAUAGCCGACCUGAGAGGGUGAUCGGCCACACUGGGACUGAGACACGGCCCAGACUCCUACGGGAGGCAGCAGUAGGGAAUCUUCCGCAAUGGACGAAAGUCUGACGGAGCAAUGCCGCGUGAGUGAAGAAGGUUUUCGGAUCGUAAAACUCUGUUGUAAGGGAAGAACAAGUACGUUAGUAACUGAACGUACCUUGACGGUACCCUACCAGAAAGCCACGGCUAACUACGUG